GACUGCGUAGCUCAGUUGGCAGAGCAUUGGACUAGUAUUCCAAAGGUCGUAGGUUCGAUCCCCCCGUGGCCA
RNAcentral lists this transfer RNA (72 nucleotides) under Paramuricea clavata. It matches the Rfam family "tRNA". From Rfam's summary of the family: Transfer RNA (tRNA) molecules are approximately 80 nucleotides in length. Their secondary structure includes four short double-helical elements and three loops (D, anti-codon, and T loops). The record is from Rfam by way of RNAcentral. Lineage: Eukaryota; Metazoa; Cnidaria; Anthozoa; Malacalcyonacea; Plexauridae.